AGCAGCCGCGGUAAUUCCAGCUCCAAUAGCGUAUAUUAAAGUUGUUGCAGUUAAAAAGCUCGUAGUUGAAUUUCGGGAUCAAUUAAUUGGUCGUGCCUCUGGUACGUACUGAUUUUAUUGGUUUCUCCCUUCUGACGAAUCAUGAUGUCAUUAAUUUGGUGUCGUGGAGAAUCAGGACUGUUACUUUGAAAAAUUAGAGUGUUUAAAGCAAGCUAACGCUUGAAUACAUUAGCAUGGAAUAAUGAAAUAGGACGUUUGACCCUAUUUUGUUGGUUUCUAGGAUCGACGUAAUGAUUAAUAGGGAUAGUUGGGGGCAUUAGUAUUCAAUUGUCAGAGGUGAAAUUCUUGGAUUUAUUGAAGACUAACUACUGCGAAAGCAUUUGCCAAGGAUGUUUUCAUUAAUCAAGAACGAAAGUUAGGGGAUCGAAGACGAUCAGAUACCGUCGUAGU
RNAcentral lists this ribosomal RNA (450 nucleotides) under uncultured Glomus. RNAcentral describes it as "SSU rRNA". It matches the Rfam family "Eukaryotic small subunit ribosomal RNA", at positions 569 to 1024 of the family's 1831-position model. The record is from RNAcentral. Lineage: Eukaryota; Fungi; Glomeromycota; Glomeromycetes; Glomerales; Glomeraceae.